CCUACGGGAGGCAGCAGUGAGGAAUAUUGGUCAAUGGACGCGAGUCUGAACCAGCCAAGUAGCGUGAAGGAUGACUGCCCUAUGGGUUGUAAACUUCUUUUAUAUGGGAAUAAAAUGUUCCACGUGUGGGACUUUGUAUGUACCAUAUGAAUAAGGAUCGGCUAACUCCGUGCCAGCAGCCGCGGUAAUACGGCGGAUCCGAGCGUUAUCCGGAUUUAUUGGGUUUAAAGGGAGCGUAGGCGGAUUGUUAAGUCAGUUGUGAAAGUUUGGGGCUCAACCGUAGAAUUGCAGUUGAAACUGGCAGUCUUGAGUGCAGGAGAGGUAGGCGGAAUUCGUGGUGUAGCGGUGAAAUGCUUAGAUAUCACGAAGAACUCCGAUUGCGAAGGCAGCUCACUGGACUGCAACUGACGCUGAGGCUCGAAAGUGUGGGUAUCAAACAGGAUUAGAUACCCUGGUAGUC
This 460-nucleotide ribosomal RNA is filed under the name uncultured bacterium. RNAcentral describes it as "partial 16S ribosomal RNA". It matches the Rfam family "Bacterial small subunit ribosomal RNA", at positions 338 to 795 of the family's 1533-position model. The record is from RNAcentral.